Molecule: ribosomal RNA, 274 nt
Filed under: uncultured bacterium
Lineage: Bacteria
Description: partial 16S ribosomal RNA
Rfam family: Bacterial small subunit ribosomal RNA
Source: RNAcentral
AUACGGAGGGCGCAAGCGUUGUUCGGAAUCAUUGGGCGUAAAGCGGGUGCAGGCGGUGAAGUAAGUCGGAUGUGAAAUCCCGGGGCCCAACCCCGGAACUGCAUUCGAAACUGCUCCACUAGAGUCCCGGAGAGGAAGGCGGAAUUCCCGGUGUAGAGGUGAAAUUCGUAGAUAUCGGGAGGAACACCAGUGGCGAAGGCGGCCUUCUGGACGGUGACUGACGCUGAGGUGCGAAAGCGUGGGGAGCAAACAGGAUUAGAUACCCCAGUAGUCC